This 329-nucleotide ribosomal RNA is filed under the name uncultured eukaryote. RNAcentral describes it as "partial 18S ribosomal RNA". It matches the Rfam family "Eukaryotic small subunit ribosomal RNA", at positions 1470 to 1796 of the family's 1831-position model. The record is from RNAcentral.
CCCUUAGAUGUUCUGGGCUGCACGCGCGCUACACUGAUGUGUUCAUCGGGUUCGACCUUGCCCGGGAGGGUUGGGUAAUCCUUUCAAAACACAUCGUGAUGGGGAUAGAUUAUUGCAAUUAUUAAUCUUCAACGAGGAAUUCCUAGUAAGCGCGAGUCAUCAGCUCGUGCUGAUUACGUCCCUGCCCUUUGUACACACCGCCCGUCGCUACUACCGAUUGAAUGAUUUAGUGAGGACUUCGGACUGGGACCGAUGCGGCUUUCGGGCUGCGUCGGUAUUCUGGAAAGAUGUCCAAACUGUAUCAUUUAGAGGAAGUAAAAGUCGUAACA